GCCGGGUAGUUCAAUUGGGAGAACAUCGGUUUUUGAUGCCGAAUGCGCUGGAUCGAAACCAGCCCCGGUUA
Molecule: transfer RNA, 71 nt
Filed under: Flammeovirgaceae bacterium
Lineage: Bacteria; Pseudomonadati; Bacteroidota; Cytophagia; Cytophagales; Flammeovirgaceae
Description: tRNA-Gln
Rfam family: tRNA
About the family: Transfer RNA (tRNA) molecules are approximately 80 nucleotides in length.
Source: RNAcentral